UACGGGGGGGGCAAGCGUUGUUCGGAAUUACUGGGCGUAAAGGGUUUGUAGGUGGCCUGCUAAGUCAGACGUGAAAUCCCUCAGCUUAACUGGGGAACUGCGUCUGAGACUGGUAGGCUCGAGGACAGGAGAGGAACGCGGAAUUCCAGGUGUAGCGGUGAAAUGCGUAGAUAUCUGGAGGAACACCGGUGGCGAAGGCGACAUCCUGGACCGGUAUUGACGCUGAGGCGCGAAAGCCAGGGGAGCAAACGGG
Molecule: ribosomal RNA, 253 nt
Filed under: uncultured bacterium
Lineage: Bacteria
Description: partial 16S ribosomal RNA
Rfam family: Bacterial small subunit ribosomal RNA
Source: RNAcentral